GGGGUAUUUUUUAAAAUCCGCACAUAUGUCGUCACAUUUCUCUGGGUGCCUGAAAGGGUGGAGGAUGCGGACAUAUGGAGGCCUAAC
Molecule: non-coding RNA, 87 nt
Organism: Acinetobacter sp. ANC 3832
Lineage: Bacteria; Pseudomonadati; Pseudomonadota; Gammaproteobacteria; Moraxellales; Moraxellaceae
Source: Rfam